UUCACAUCUGGCUCAUAAUAUCCACUGUACUCUGACCCAUCAGCAAGAUACGCUCCAUAGCUUCCAAUGGAGGCUGCAACCAAAGCUCGGUUAUAUCCACGUAGAGGAUUACUUUUCACAGCAUCCCAGAACUUAUCACGGGCUUCAGCAGCCAAUUUAACGCUUUUCUUUAAUAAUAACUCUCCUUCUUCUAUGGACAGUCCCUUGGACACAAAUCCAGGAAGAGUGGCCUGGUAAGAGGAAGUGACCAAAAUAUCCGCACCAGCCUCCAAAUAUUCCAAGUGAACCCUUUUGAUAAGGUGGGGAUCUUUGAUCAAACAAAGAGCGCUCCAUAGAGGGUCGUUGAUGGCGGCGCCGUGUGUCUCGAGCUGGGUGGCGAAUCCACCGUCAAUGACCGCACAGCCUCCUGCCUUUUCUACAAGAUCCUCCAGCAAUGUGGUUGUCUUCUCCACUCCCAUCUGUGUAUGUAUGUGGAGAUGUGCGAGGAGAGUAAAUACGUAGGCAAAGGAUGCAAGGAAUGGCGCCGGUGAUGGAGGCUUGUGAACGCGGACGAAGGGUUCAAGACUUCAUGUUUUCAACAACCCAUGGGAGUUUGGGACUUGCAAGAGAUUUUCUUUUCUUUUAUAUUUAUUAAUUUUGUGAAUUGUUGCUGGAUAUUGGUUGGUUGGUGUUGGGAUUUGGUAAGAACCUAACACUGGGCGAUUCUUUUCCUAAAGUGGGAAAGGCUCACAACAUGGAAUGGAUCCA
This 747-nucleotide unclassified non-coding RNA is filed under the name Hevea brasiliensis (rubber tree). The record is from RNAcentral. Lineage: Eukaryota; Viridiplantae; Streptophyta; Magnoliopsida; Malpighiales; Euphorbiaceae.